RNAcentral lists this ribosomal RNA (425 nucleotides) under uncultured bacterium. Its description in RNAcentral is "bacterial SSU rRNA". It matches the Rfam family "Bacterial small subunit ribosomal RNA", at positions 355 to 772 of the family's 1533-position model. The record is from RNAcentral.
UGGGGAAUUUUGGACAAUGGGGGCAACCCUGAUCCAGCCAUCCCGCGUGUGCGAUGAAGGCCUUCGGGUUGUAAAGCACUUUUGGCAGGGAAGAAACAGCCUGGGCUAAUAUCCCGGGCGACUGACGGUACCUGCAGAAUAAGCACCGGCUAACUACGUGCCAGCAGCCGCGGUAAUACGUAGGGUGCAAGCGUUAAUCGGAAUUACUGGGCGUAAAGCGCGCGUAGGUGGUUUGGUAAGAUGGAUGUGAAAUCCCCGGGCUCAACCUGAAAACUGCAACCAUAACUACCUGACUAGAGUACGGUAGAGGGUGGUGGAAUUUCCUGUGUAGCGGUGAAAUGCGUAGAUAUAGGAAGGAACACCAGUGGCGAAGGCGACCACCUGGACUGAUACUGACACUGAGGUGCGAAAGCGUGGGGAGCAAA